Molecule: ribosomal RNA, 876 nt
Filed under: Sarcophaga musitali
Lineage: Eukaryota; Metazoa; Arthropoda; Insecta; Diptera; Sarcophagidae
Description: eukaryotic LSU rRNA
Rfam family: Eukaryotic large subunit ribosomal RNA
Source: RNAcentral
AAUGUCAAAUUUCUAGUAUGAGAAAUUAACGAUUUAAGUCCUUCUUAAAUGAGGCCAUUUACCCAUAGAGGGUGCCAGGCCCGUAUAACGUUAAUGAUUACUAGAUGGCAUUUCCAAAGAGUCGUGUUGCUUGAUAGUGCAGCACUAAGUGGGUGGUAAACUCCAUCUAAAACUAAAUAUAACCAUGAGACCGAUAGUAAACAAGUACCGUGAGGGAAAGUUGAAAAGAACUCUGAAUAGAGAGUUAAAUAGUACGUGAAACUGCUUAGAGGUUAAGCCCGAUGAACCUGAAUAUCCAUUAUAGAAAAUUCAUCAUUAUGAUUUUAAUAUUAAUAAUAUUAUAAUAAUGGUGUGCAUUUUUUCUAUAACGGACAUUGUAAUCUAUUAACAUAAAUAUAUUUAUCAUAAGAUCAAUGAUGCGUAAGUUUAUUCAAAUUAUUUUGCUUGCAAUUUAACAUAGAAUAAAUGCUCUUGAUUUGAUAAAGUGUUGAUAGAUUUAUUGUAUAUAGUGCUUAAAUAUUUAUAUUUUAUAAUAGCAUAUUAAUCAUUGAUUUUUAUGUUUAUUAUAUGCACUUAUAUGAUUAACAAUGCGAAAGAUUCAGGAUACCUUCGGGACCCGUCUUGAAACACGGACCAAGGAGUCUAACAUAUUUGCAAGUUAUUGGGUAUCAAAACCUAAUAGCGAAAUUAACAUAACUUUAAUGGGAUUAGUUUUUAGAUUAUUUAUAGUCUAUUAAUUCAAUCCCGGGGCGUUCUAUUAGUUAUGUAUAAUAAUAUUUAUAUUAUUUAUACCUCUAACUAGAGCGUACCUUGAGCAUAUAUGCUGUGACCCGAAAGAUGGUGAACUAUACUUGAUCAGGUUGAAGUCAGGGGAAA